UCGAACGAUGAAGUGGAGCUUGCUCCACGGAUUAGUGGCGAACGGGUGAGGAACACGUGAGAAACCCGCCUCGGAUUUUGGGAUAACAAAUGGAAACGUUUGCUAAUACCAAAUAACGUCGGAGAGUCACAUGACUUUCUGACAAAAGGAAUUCCGAUUCGAGAGGGUCUCGCGGCCUAUCAGCUAGUUGGCGGGGUAAUGGCCCACCAAGGCAACGACCGGGUAGCUGGGUCUUGGAGAGGAUGGUCAGCCCACACUUGGAACUGAGACACGGCCCAGACUCCG
Molecule: ribosomal RNA, 285 nt
Filed under: uncultured bacterium
Lineage: Bacteria
Description: partial 16S ribosomal RNA
Rfam family: Bacterial small subunit ribosomal RNA
Source: RNAcentral